CUUUACAAGAGCCAGCUGAGGUUAAGGAUUUCUUGCGGCGUUUGGUAGACUGGAAACGAUUCUCUCCUGGAGGAGCAUGUAGGGUGUAAAAGUAAAGAAGAAAUUGACUUCCACCCUUUAAUAGUUGGUCAAUGACCAAGGUGGAAUUGAAAUAUGUAAUUUUUCUCUUUAAACAUUGUAAAUGAAGAGCAAUUUAAAGAAAUAUGGAAUACAAAGAAUUCCAUAAUUUUGCAAGGAAUCACUUUCUUCAAGGCUCUUUUUUUUUUUUUUAUGGGAAAGAAAAA
Molecule: unclassified non-coding RNA, 284 nt
Filed under: Hevea brasiliensis (rubber tree)
Lineage: Eukaryota; Viridiplantae; Streptophyta; Magnoliopsida; Malpighiales; Euphorbiaceae
Source: RNAcentral